AUCGAUGAGGAGAUACUUGAUCAUGAUUUUGAAGUUUCAAAGUAAUAUGGUUUCUUGAAUUGGGAUAGACAAAGCAAACCUAAGCUAUAAUUCUGGAUACUCCAAGUCAGCAGGACAAGGGAGUCCUGACAUAUGUGCAAAGAUAAUUGAAGAUACUGAAGACUUUUGCCAAUGGCUACAAACUUCUGAACCUGUCUACAGACUUUAAACAUCCAACACAAGUCAUGGAUGGGGCAUCCUUAACCCGUCAAGCCAUUCAUUAACAACACACCUCAGCACUGGAGAAGUACCGUGAAAACAUUAAUUGCAACUGAAAUCUAUGUUUGACCCAGUAUCCAAGGCAUCAGGACCACAUGUGGAGAGAUAAGUAAAACCAUAUAGAUCUUUUGAUAAGAUCAUUUGAGGGUGAAGAAGGCAGUAUCUUGGGAUACUGAUGUAAGUGUGCAAAAGUGA
This is a long non-coding RNA of Stegostoma tigrinum, 453 nucleotides long. RefSeq lists it as uncharacterized. The transcript has 3 exons. Lineage: Eukaryota; Metazoa; Chordata; Chondrichthyes; Orectolobiformes; Stegostomatidae. The record is from RefSeq and is a predicted model, not a curated record.